This 91-nucleotide transfer RNA is filed under the name Bacillota bacterium. RNAcentral's name for it is "tRNA-Ser". It matches the Rfam family "tRNA". Rfam says of the family: Transfer RNA (tRNA) molecules are approximately 80 nucleotides in length. Their secondary structure includes four short double-helical elements and three loops (D, anti-codon, and T loops). Lineage: Bacteria; Bacillati; Bacillota. The record is from RNAcentral.
GGAGAGGUGGCUGAGCGGUUUAAGGCACACGAUUCGAAAUCGUGCGACGGUUAGUACCCGUCCGUGGGUUCAAAUCCCACCCUCUCCGCCA